GUGGGGAAUAUUGGACAAUGGGCGCAAGCCUGAUCCAGCCAUGCCGCGUGAGUGAUGAAGGCCCUAGGGUUGUAAAGCUCUUUCAGUGGGGACGAUAAUGACGGUACCCACAGAAGAAGCCCCGGCUAACUUCGUGCCAGCAGCCGCGGUAAUACGAAGGGGGCUAGCGUUGUUCGGAUUUACUGGGCGUAAAGCGCACGUAGGCGGAUCGUUAAGUCGGGGGUGAAAUCCUGGAGCUCAACUCCAGAACUGCCUUCGAUACUGGCGAUCUUGAGUCCGGAAGAGGUGAGUGGAACUCCUAGUGUAGAGGUGGAAUUCGUAGAUAUUAGGAAGAACACCAGUGGCGAAGGCGGCUCACUGGUCCGGUACUGACGCUGAGGUGCGAAAGCGUGGGGAGCAAACAGGAUUAGAAACCCCGGUAGUCC
This 425-nucleotide ribosomal RNA is filed under the name uncultured bacterium. RNAcentral's name for it is "partial 16S ribosomal RNA". It matches the Rfam family "Bacterial small subunit ribosomal RNA", at positions 354 to 796 of the family's 1533-position model. The record is from RNAcentral.